Molecule: long non-coding RNA, 620 nt
Organism: Carya illinoinensis
Lineage: Eukaryota; Viridiplantae; Streptophyta; Magnoliopsida; Fagales; Juglandaceae
Exons: 3
Source: RefSeq, a predicted model, not a curated record
CUUAAAUUCAAAAUUUUCGUCUCAUGCCGAUCAGAACCUAAUCUCCAAGUUCAAAUGCUCUCGCUCCCUUGACCGUUCCCUUCGUGUCUUCAUCACCGUCCCGCAUCGAGCUGCGAAUCUGCUUCCCCACGAUCAGUCGGCAUCACACUGGACUUGCAAUUUUGCUCUUAAGCCUCAUGUCUGGGUUUAACGAGGAUAAUAUGGCUUCACAUGCUCAGCACAAGCCCGGGCAAGGGUAGCUAAUCCUAAUAGUGGUUAAGCUAAUAGCGAGUACGUGGUUCUCAAGAAGAUGAAGCUUGAGGUCCGUAAGAGUGCGGAUGAGAUUGAGAAGAGAAAGAUGGUGCUUGGGGAUCAAGAAGCUGAAAUAAGAUGUUCAUGAACACUACUCCGGGUGUAUUGAGUCCUUUCAAUUGUUGUGUCAUGUUACUUAUGUGCAUCUAAGUGAUUUCGAAACUUGAAAUCUGUGUCGUGGUGGAAGGCCCCAAACUGGACCUCUUAAUUCUUCCAUCCAAGAACAUGGUUGGCUAGGAGCAAGUUGGUUAAUUGUAUUUAAAGACUCCAAGAACACUUGUUCUUUUUAUUUUAUUUUUAUUUUUAUUUAUUUAUUGAUUUUAUGACAA